AACUGGGAGAGCCUUGGCAAUACGUGGUCUGGGGCUGUGUGCUUCAUUUUAGGAGUGGACAUCAAUGGCCAGCUGUUGAGUGCCUGCUGUGUGUCAGGCACUGGAUUAGGCGUUCGGUGCACCCCUUGAGUAAUUAAAACUAAAACAACAGCAAAAUAAUUAAAAUUCUGUGAGUGGGUUUGGGUUGGCCAUGCCAUUCUGCACUGAGGAAACUGAGUCGACACUCCCGAAUUAGGUAUUUACCUGUCCUUUCCCUGCAAGCCUACAGGCAAGCUGAGAGAAGCUUAAGGAGACAGACGGGCAGUCGACCGGGACGGUGCGGGCAGAAGCCGCAGGCCAGCCUCGCCCCGCCCACUCCUCCAGCAGAACAAAUGCGCCGGGCUUGGUGCCUGAAGUGCCGCAACAGGUCCAACCCCAGAACACGGGGAGAAACUGCUUCCGGUGGGUUUGAAUUUCCGCCGCGCUUCUCACGGGGAAAAGUUACACGGAGGCGUCCGUUCCCCAGGUAGUUUGGGCCACCCCACAGACAGCGGAUGCCAGGGCUCCGGAUGCCCAGUUCCUUGGUCUUUUCAGAGCAUCCCUGGAUACAAAGUACGACGUCCACGCGUGAGAGGCUCCGGGUCUGGCAGUGUGCAAGUCACGUGGAGCACGGGUCGCAUGGUAUACGGUUACACGGUGGGAUGGGACA
RNAcentral lists this long non-coding RNA (688 nucleotides) under Capra hircus (goat). Its description in RNAcentral is "lncRNA (ENSCHIG00010007251.1)". Lineage: Eukaryota; Metazoa; Chordata; Mammalia; Artiodactyla; Bovidae. The record is from RNAcentral.